RNAcentral lists this unclassified non-coding RNA (273 nucleotides) under Hevea brasiliensis (rubber tree). The record is from RNAcentral. Lineage: Eukaryota; Viridiplantae; Streptophyta; Magnoliopsida; Malpighiales; Euphorbiaceae.
GGAGCACUAAUGCGAGGGUACUUGGGAUUUCUUUCCUUCUUCAAUGUUUUUGGGCGAUGAAAUGUAACCUUUGUCCUGAUCUUGUUGGCCUUCUUCUUAAAGGUUGGACCAGACUUCACUGCUUUUGCAGCCUUUACAGCCUGUGCCUUUGGAUCAGGCUUCUUUGAACUGUCAGCUUUAGCUGGUGCCAUUGCUACUUCCGCUAAACCCUUCUAAUCACUUGAAACCCUUGGGCAAACAGCGGUCUAGGGAUUGGAAGAGCUGAGAAGAAAG